AAGAAAGCUCAGCCCCACGCAGAGUGCCCGGGGUAGUGGGUGGCUCAGCAGCCGCUGCUGCUCGGGGAGGCACAAGAAGGAGGAAGCAGAAGGCACCCUGAGACGGCAGCGUGGGAGGGCCACUGGGGCAGGAGGUGAGCCGCAGCUGCUAAGGUGGCCAAGGACGUCACGAGCAAAAGCACAGCACCAGGAUGAGUUUGCUAUUCGUGGACAACAGCAAGGAGACCCGCCUGACCUGCUGCAGGACUUGCGACAGGGAGUCACGGGAGCUCGAAAAUUAAAAUCUCCCUGCCUUGGGCAAUUGAAGGCUGAGUGAGAGACGGCUACCACCACCACACAUUUCUUAUUUAAGUCAAUUUGGAAACACCGAAUGCUUUCUCUCGGGGCAGCUCUCUCCAGCUUGUUCAGACUCGCAGAGGGAGACCUGGUCCACAGGAUGUCUCCUGGUGGAGCUUCCCUGCAGAACAUCCCCUCAGAAGGAUCUGAAGUGACAGUCUGUGGAAGGUUGGCGCCCCCUGUUUUUACUGCAACUGCAGUUCUUGCUGAGCUUAUGGAGAGGUGUCUGGGGGCGUUCCAAGGCCUGGAACAAUUUCUUCUCAUUGAGAAGCACAAGACCUGGAAAUGAAGGCUGUGUCUCUACUUCCAGAACUCAAAGUUGAAGCAAGCUGUGUUGUGCACACCUGUAAAUCCUGUGCUCUGGGAGACUGAGGUGGGAGAAUCACAAAUUUGAGUUUAGCCGGGACAAUUUAGCAAGAUCUUGUCUCAAAAAUAAAAAAAAUAAAAAAGGUGAAAAGGGCCAGGCUAGUAGCGUGCUCCUUAGGAGGACUGCCAUGAGUUUGAGGCCAGCCUGAGCUACAUAGUGAGUUCAAGACCAGCCUAGACUACACAGUGAGACCUUGUCUCAAAAAACUAAAAAAUAAAUAAAUAAAAAGGAAAUGAAGAGUUAGCUCAAUGCAAAAGUCCUGGGUUAAAUUCCCAGUAUGGAGAGGAAAAGAAGAAUUAAAGGUUAUGACUGACUGUGGACAAACAACAGUACCAGCCCCCAGGUCUGGUGGAAAAGGAGUUCUUGCUCCACCUUUGUUUCCAGCCCCAGCUCCCUGGAGGACCUGGUAGUUUUCCAUGUUCUCCCUUGUGGGGCUCCCGGGCCUGGCCAGGUGAUUCCCUAUGGGAACCAGGACCCAAGACACGAAGUGAGACUACACACCCCUGCAAGCUUGUGCUGCUUUUGGUGUGAAAUGACAGCCGCCUCCACUCCCUGUCCUUUCAGAGAGCGGAAGCCAAGGCCCAGACUGCUCUUUUCAUCACCAGCUCAACCGCAGGGGCCACGGAAGGAACUGGAACUCUAAGCAGACCCAGCAGAAGAGACACGGGGCUCCCUUACGGGGAGGCAGAGCUGAAGGAAGGAGAAGCAAAUGAGUACUUCCUGGAGAUUAAGGCUUCGAGCUGCAACUCAAAACCUAAAGGAAAGCGUUGCCGAGGCAGAGAAAAGAAAAAUAAGCAAAGUGAAAAACUGGAUUUGGAAAUAGACCAGGAUUGAAAUUUCAAUUGUGUUUCACUGUAGAAUCUUGGGCAACCUCUGAAAUCCUCAGUUUCCUUCUCCACCUUCCACAGUGGUGAUUAUCCCACAGUGCUAUUGCAGGAUUAGUGAAAUAAUGUACAUAAGAUCCUUAGGUCCCUGGCAGAUAGUAGGUGCUCAAUAAAUGGUUGCUAUUUUUAUCACUGUUGGUGUCACUGUUGCUGCUGCUGAUGAAGGAGAAUCAUGCAGUGGAAGCUGGAGACCAGACUUUCCU
This is a long non-coding RNA of Chinchilla lanigera (long-tailed chinchilla), 1790 nucleotides long. The record is from Ensembl. Lineage: Eukaryota; Metazoa; Chordata; Mammalia; Rodentia; Chinchillidae.